This 423-nucleotide ribosomal RNA is filed under the name uncultured Cantharellales. RNAcentral describes it as "eukaryotic LSU rRNA". The stretch from base 368 to 423 matches the Rfam family "Eukaryotic large subunit ribosomal RNA", at positions 1 to 56 of the family's 3401-position model. Lineage: Eukaryota; Fungi; Basidiomycota; Agaricomycetes; Cantharellales. The record is from RNAcentral.
CAUAGUAGUGGUGAAUCAUCGAAUCUUUGAACGCACUUUGCACCUAGUGGCUUUUGUCACUAGGUAUACUUGUUUGAGUAUCAAAAACAUCCUCACCUACCUUUCGGGGCAAGGUGGACUUGAGAUUCGACUGUGAAAGGUCGUCUCUUUAAAUGUGGUGGUCCUCUGUUGGCAGGUCUCCGUCUGGAACCGGACAGACUAUUGGGAUAACAUCCUAACGAUCGUCUGUUGGUUCAUCUAUAUUAGGCGUUGACUGACCUUGGCCAACCUUGAAGAAGCAUGGGCAUGCCUUUGGCAUCUUAUGUGACUUUACGAGUUGAACAGUAUACACAAACAUCGCUUUGUGCCUGUCUGUCCAAUUGUGAUAUGAUCUCAAAUCAAGUAAGGAUACCCGCUGAACUUAAGCAUAUCAAUAAGCGGAGG